This 466-nucleotide ribosomal RNA is filed under the name uncultured bacterium. RNAcentral's name for it is "partial 16S ribosomal RNA". It matches the Rfam family "Bacterial small subunit ribosomal RNA", at positions 28 to 507 of the family's 1533-position model. The record is from RNAcentral.
GAUGAACGCUGGCGGCGUGCUUAACACAUGCAAGUCGAACGGAAAGGCCCAAGCUUGCUUGGGUACUCGAGUGGCGAACGGGUGAGUAACACGUGGGUGAUCUGCCCUGCACUUCGGGAUAAGCCUGGGAAACUGGGUCUAAUACCGGAUAGGACCACAUUUUGGAUGGUGUGGUGGAAAGUUUUUCGGUGUGGGAUGAGCUCGCGGCCUAUCAGCUUGUUGGUGGGGUAAUGGCCUACCAAGGCGUCGACGGGUAGCCGGCCUGAGAGGGUGUACGGCCACAUUGAGACUGAGAUACGGCCCAGACUCCGACGGGAGGAAGAAGUGGGGAAGAUUGAACAAUGGGCGCAAGCCUGAUGCAGCGACGCCGCGUGGGGGAUGACGGCCUUCGGGUUGUAAAAUCCUUUCGCUAGGGACGAAGCGUUAUGUGACGGUACCUGGAGAAGAAGCACCGGCUAACUACGUG